CAGCUUGCGAGACGAUCCUCGAUCUGAAGGUGAGAGCUUGAUGUCCAAGUUUUAGUUACACAGGGUCAAAGGCCCUCCUUUCUUCGCCACAUAUUUUCGAAUCUGAAACGAUGGGUAUUAGGUAUUGGGAGACCGGUGUCAGCGAUGAGCAAAAUCGAUGAGUGAUCCGAUCUUGGUGGCACAAUGUUGUGAACUUCGAUUUGAGGAAAUAGAUUGGAGAAGGCCUUUAUGAUUAGAGCUCGAUCGAGCCUUUCUUCUGUUGCAUUCCAUUUUCCCAAGGAUUUGGCCGAAG
This 292-nucleotide long non-coding RNA is filed under the name Linum usitatissimum (flax). RNAcentral's name for it is "long non-coding RNA (LUSI_LNC002910)". Lineage: Eukaryota; Viridiplantae; Streptophyta; Magnoliopsida; Malpighiales; Linaceae. The record is from RNAcentral.